GACGAACGCUGGCGGCGUGCUUAACACAUGCAAGUCGAACGGAAAGGCCCUGCUUUUGUGGGGUGCUCGAGUGGCGAACGGGUGAGUAACACGUGAGUAACCUGCCCUUGACUUUGGGAUAACUUCAGGAAACUGGGGCUAAUACCGGAUAGGAGCUCCUGCUGCAUGGUGGGGGUUGGAAAGUUUCGGCGGUUGGGGAUGGACUCGCGGCUUAUCAGCUUGUUGGUGGGGUAGGGGCUUACCAAGGCUUUGAGGGGUAGCCGGGCUGAGAGGGUGACCGGCCACAUUGGGACUGAGAGACGGCGCAGACGCCAACGGGAGGCAGCAGUGGGGAAUAUUGCACAGUGGGCGGAAGCCUGAUGCAGCAACGCCGCGUGCGGGAUGACGGCCUUCGGGUUGUAAACCGCUUUCGCCUGUGACGAAGCGUGAGUGACGGUAAUGGGUAAAGAAGCACCGGCUAACUACGUG
RNAcentral lists this ribosomal RNA (468 nucleotides) under uncultured bacterium. RNAcentral's name for it is "partial 16S ribosomal RNA". It matches the Rfam family "Bacterial small subunit ribosomal RNA", at positions 28 to 507 of the family's 1533-position model. The record is from RNAcentral.